Molecule: ribosomal RNA, 417 nt
Filed under: uncultured bacterium
Lineage: Bacteria
Description: bacterial SSU rRNA
Rfam family: Bacterial small subunit ribosomal RNA
Source: RNAcentral
UAUUGGUCAAUGGACGCGAGUCUGAACCAGCCAAGUAGCGUGAAGGAUGACUGCCCUAUGGGUUGUAAACUUCUUUUAUAUGGGAAUAAAGUUUUCCACGUGUGGAAUUUUGUAUGUACCAUAUGAAUAAGGAUCGGCUAACUCCGUGCCAGCAGCCGCGGUAAUACGGAGGAUCCGAGCGUUAUCCGGAUUUAUUGGGUUUAAAGGGAGCGUAGGUGGACAGUUAAGUCAGUUGUGAAAGUUUGCGGCUCAACCGUAAAAUUGCAGUUGAUACUGGCUGUCUUGAGUACAGUAGAGGUGGGCGGAAUUCGUGGUGUAGCGGUGAAAUGCUUAGAUAUCACGAAGAACUCCGAUUGCGAAGGCAGCCUGCUGGACUGUAACUGACGCUGAGGCACGAAAGCGUGGGUAUCGAACAGG